UUGAUAUUUAAAUAGAAUAGCAAACAAUUACAGUUAGAAACGAGAACACAGAUUGCCACGUUAACGGUAACAGAUCAACUACGAUGACAGGUAUGUUAUAUACUGAUGUUGUUAAUUCUGUAUGAUCCUUAAAUGAUAAACUUGUAUACAACAUAACGUUUACAUAAUUUUCUAAGAAUGUCUUUAUUUAUAUAUGAUCAUUAAUUUUAUGUGUACACGUUAAUAUUCAGAGUAAAUAUAUUUUGAUGACACUUUUAAAUUUCGAAAAUUUUCUUUUUGAAUUUUAAAACAAAAGAAGAGCGUACUAAAAAUACAUAUAUACAUAGUCUGUUAACUGUAUAACUGAAAAAGGUUGGUUUCGAGAAAGCAUUUUCAAAUAAAAUAAUUGCCCUUUGAAUGUGCUUUAAGGGUCAACUUCUAAGUACACUCAUUCUUAUUUUUCUAGUAAGAAUCAAAGGUAUACUCUCUUGCGAUGUUUUAUGUUAAUUUCAACAUAGAAAGAUAUCGUAUUUGACACAUUUUGUUUUACCUCUCUAAUGCUCGGUAUAGCUAUAUGGACAACAAAAUGCUUACCGUAGUUAAGAGGUUACCUUCAAAAUUAAGCAUUGCAUGAACAUGAAUUCGGUAUUGAAGGAGGCUCGAGGGUACAAAAACAUCAGCAAAAAUUUGAACAUUUUUUUUUCAUUACAAACUUUAUUUAUCACACUACCAGUUGUUACGUUAUGAUAUGGUACAAAAAUUAACCCCAAAAAAAUCGUUGUGGCCCCAAAUGACUUUUACAAUGUUUAUAUUUUUGAAAAAGCUCCAAAUUAUCUCCCUUUGGUGAAAAAAUGCCAAAAAUAUCUUUUUAUAAUUCAUCAAUGACCUACAUUUUUUAUUAUCAUUUUCAAAUAAGCUGUACUUGGCACUAGCUUCGAGAGAUAUAAUAAAUAUAAUAUAAUUUUUUUUUGCUCAAUCAAUAAUCAAUUGCAAAUAGUGAAAUAAAAAUUAGCUUUUAGAAGCCAGUAUGGUUCAAUAUUGUCAAAAUCAGCUUAAAAACAUUGAUUAUGAAUUAUUCACUUACGAGUGAAUAUUUCGACCUCAUUGAAUCCAUAUACAUUUGAACUUCAAGUUUACCCCUUGACUUGAGAUGGAUAACACGUGUCACUGAAUUGUAUGUCUAAAGUUAUUUUAAGGAAAAGAAUGUCAACAUUGAAAAUGAAACAAAGGUAAAUCAUUUGAUUGACUGAUUCGAUCUACAAAAAAUCAUUCUUAUACAAGUAAACAAGAUGAUAAACAUUUAAUUUUCAUCUAUGAUAUGAAAUUAAAUAGACCUAGAAUAAUCCAAUAGCACGAGUUUCCUUAAUCUAUCAAUAUCUAUAAUUUAUGUUUACAUCGCUUAAAAAUGGUCAUCGGAUGACUUUAGAGGUCAACUAGAUAAUCAAUUAGAUGGCGUAUAGACUAAAAAACACACGAAACGAAGCUAAGAAUGUUCAUGCCCGUCUCCUAUUUAUUGUUUAUUUCAGACAUUUAAUAGUUUGGAUAAAUGUUUUUCAUUGUUAUAAAUCAAAUAUGAGAAUUUGAUUUGAAUCGGUAAACAUGAACUUGACAGCUAGUGACCCUUUAAACUAAACUACUGUAAAAUUUAAGCGAUUUCUAUAAAUAAUUCCUUUUUUUACUUCGAUGUUACCGUUUUUUCUCCUAUUUGUUCAACAGAAAAAAGUAACUUAACAAAAAUGCAUGUUUCUUUCGAAGGCAGAUUGUGAGCUUAAAUGAAAGGCGACCUAAUAUUUUUUUUUCAAUUUUUUACUAAAUAUACCUGUAGGAUAAAGUUUAUUCAUAGAAAAAAAUAGCAAAAUCCUAUAUCUAAAAAAAAAUGAUUUGUACCCGCGAGCCCCUUAAAUACAUCCGAGUGACAGCAAUACGAACGCUCCUCCUAAGAUUGAUGUACCCUUAUUUUUGACAUUAAUGCCUUGUAUCCACAUUGGUGUCAAUAUAACGAAAUUGUAUGCGACUGUCAUACAUGUGAGAGGUUUAUCUAGCUAAAAAACCAGGGUUAAUCCACCAUUUUCUACAUAAUGAAAUGCAUGUACCAAGUCAGGAAUAUUACAGUUGUUUCCUAUUCGUUUGAUGUGUUUGAAAUUUUGAUUGAGCCAUUUGAUAAGGAACUGUCAUAUUUGACUUUUCCUUUGAGAUCAGUAUUUUUGUAAUUUUACUUUUUAAUGCAGAAUAUGAAAAUCGCAAGCACAAUUAUAUUUAUAUUCCUUUUUAUUCCAAACGAUAACAAAUAAAGCAAAUAUCCAAAUAGAAGGUUCUGCAAACUAGGUAAAUCGGAUUAAAGUAAUGAACAUACGGACAGCCACAAGCAACAUAUCCUGGUACGAACACAAAAUGAGGUGUAGUAUCACAUCUUUAACGUGCAUCACUCUACCUACACGCAGCAUUGAAUGUAAUGUCUUUUUGAUGUCUCUGUGUAUAGAAUAUACCCCGCGUUGUGUCACGAACGUCAAAUCCCAUUCUUCGGCAUUUGUUUUAUUGUCAGACGGGAAUAGUUUGAUUUUUUUUAAUGUUUUUAUUUAACAACAAGUUGGACUUUAUUCUUCUACAUUGAUUGUAAAUCUAUAGAUCUCAUAAACAUGUUUAACCCCGCCGCAUUUUUACGCCUGUCCCAAGUCAGGAGCCUCUUGCCUUUGUUAGUUUUGUAUUAUUUUAAUUUUAGUUUCUUGUGUACAAUUUGGAAGUUAGUAUGGCGUUCAUUGUCACUGAACUAGUAUAUAUUUGUUUAGGGGCCAGCUAUAGAAGGACGCCUCCGGGUGCGGGAAUUUCUCGCUACAUUGAAGACCUGUUGGUAACCUUCUGCUGUUGUUUUUUCUGUGGUCGGGUUGUUGUCUCUUUGACACAUUCCCCAUUUCCAUUUUCAAUUUUAUAAUGAAUAUGAUCAGGGCAGAUCAGUCAAAUGUUUUAAACCAAGAUCACUUUAUGGUAUAAACAGUGUGCAUUUGCAAUCGAGAACAAAUGUUACUCCCUAAAACGACAGUUUUAUUACCCAGUCAGCUUUUGUCGAAUUUUACAAUUUAAUUAGUAUCACAAAUAUUCAUUGUGAAUCGAUCAUAUGAUUGAUUAUAAGAUGGUAUAAAUAUCGGACUAUGGGUAUCUAUUCAAAUCGUAACAGAAAUAUGUGAUUAUUUUAAAAUAACGACAUGGGUUAAAAAUAACAAUGUCAAACAUUUCAGGAAUACGAUCUGUGUUGUGUCUUAUAAUAGCUCUCACCAACAGAAAAAGAAAAUCGCCAUUCUUUUGGAGAUCCCUUAACUCCGAUUCGUGCAAAACGUACCCCAUGUUUUAUAAUAAUUUGUUAUAGUUAUAACUUGGCCAUGAGUUAUUUAAUCUUGUUUUCCAUUGUGAUGCUUUUGAUACCCAUGUUGGACAAUGUAAGCAUAUGGCAUGGUCAUACGUUCCUUCUGUGUAAGAUAUACAUGGUCCAUGAACUACAAAAUCCAUAUCAGUUAAUUUGUCUUGGUUAUAUAAUGUAGUUGAAAAAUAAUGUUCCUAAAUAAUAUAUAAAUAUCUUACAUACAGAAAUAAAAACAACAAUGGGGCAAACUCAUUUUAUUAAGGGGAGGGAGGGGGGAAGGAAAAUUUUAAAAGAAGAAGUAUUUGUGUUACUUGGCGAAAAAAAUAAUAAAGUGGCGCAAAAUAUUUUUUUGGUGAACGAGGUGGCGAAAAUAAAAUUUAGAAGUUUGUUGCAUUAACUGUUCAUAGGAGCACGAUAUCAGUUCAAAGUACCAUUAUUACAAAAAUGCUGAACUCCGAGGAAAAUUUAAAAUGAAAAGUUUCUAAUCAAAUGCAACUGCCGUCUACUGAUGGAACAACUGUUCACAAUAGAAUGAAAAAUAAAUGAAACAACGGCAGCAAUGAUUAUAAGAAAACAUUUUAAAACAGAUCAACAUCCAUUUAAAACAGUUUUCAAUUACGUUAAGAAAAAGUCUGAUAAACUGACCAAUAAGUCAGGAACGUGAUUUUCAGUGGUUGUCGUUUGUUGAUGUAAUUCAUCAAUGUUUGUCGUUUUUUUAUAUAGAUUAUAUUGUUGGUUUUCCCGUUCGAAUGGUUUUACACUUGUCAUUUUAGGGGGCUCCUACUGGCUUGCUUGGAGUGUUGUCUCAAUGGCAGUCUUAUCAUAUAUUCUUAUAUCUAACCAAUAUGUAUACUUACAAGCCAUUUUAAUUACACUGUUAAAAUGAAAUGUGUCAGAUUUUUUUAAAUACGUUAUUCAAUGAGGUAUUUAAAUGGGUUUACAGAGACAAUCUUAUUCAUGCCUCUCAAUUUAUAAAACUGUCAAACUGUUUACCAUUAAAGGAGUUUAUAUAUUAAACUAAAGUGUGAUUAGGUAUAAACUUCAUUGUUUGAGUUAAUCGUAACUCAGUUUUCUGUACAAACUUGACAAACGUAAACAUGAAAACUGGACAAAAAAAAAGUCCAAUUCUUUUUUUAGAGGUAGAAUGGGGACUUUGUUCUAAACAUAUCCCUUUUCUAGAUUACAAACUAUACACAUAUGUGAACAAAACUGAUCCAAACUAUUUAAAUCAUUAAGAACUGAAACGAGAUGUCAAAAUUUUUGCAACACGGAUACUUUGCAAUAAAAAAAUUGAAAUAAGUGAUAUGUUACGUGUCUAGAUUGGUAUUUUUCAAACUUUUUGACAAAAUAGUUAUGAAAAGGAUCAGCUUUGAUUUUUAACUAUAACAACUUAUACUUCGGUAAAUUAUGUACGUUAUAUAUUAAAUUUUGUUAUUUUCUCUUGUGCUUGGUAAACAUUACGUUUAUCCCAGCCCUUCCUGUCCUGUUUAACAUACUGGUUUUGUGUUAUGUUGUUACACCGGUGUCACAUAAUGGAACUUAUAUAUGAAUUAUCUAUAGCAAAUUAUUUGUACUAGUCACAGGUUAGAGGGACAGGUUCACAAACAUGUUUAGCUCCAAAAUGUUCUUCUUGUUAUUUUACGAAAAGCCAGGAUUUUGUUAUGCAGUGCUUGUCAUUUAUCUCUGUAUGUGUUAUUCUAUUCUUAUUUGCAGUAUCUUGCUUAACACAACGUUUUGUCAAAACGCUUUCUUUACGAUAUCAGUUUACUAGUAUAUAUAUAUCGUACUUUAAUAUUCACAUCUUGUCUUUAAAUUGUUUUUGUUGGUUAUUGCAGUAUUGACCAUCAUAGUAUAAAUCGUAGAUUAUUAUCGAUUGUUUUAUAUAUUUGUUUUAUAUGAUACAGGAACUCUUUAUAAUUUUCACUCUGCACUACGCAAUGGAUGCAUCAUUAGGAUCUAUGUCGUACUUUUAUAGGAUGUUGUUUGUCUUUGAUUGCUUUUCAGGUGGCUUUUUUUCUUAAUGUCUUCAGUUUAUCUUCAACCCGGGUGUAUCACUAUCACUUUGGUGUCUCUUACCUCUCUUUUGGAAUGGUAAAAACAAUUGACAUCGCAACAACUUAUUAAAGCUCAAUUGCAAUAGAAGUGCUAUAUAUGUUAGCAACCGUAUGGUAAAGAUUAUUUUUCAUUCCCCAUGACUAAAUAUCUUAUCUAUUUCAUGUUAUUUCAGACAUAGAAUCAAAAACUAUAUCAUUAGCACUGUAUCGUUAUAUGUGUGAGAACAUAGUUGGAUCAGAGAAUCAUGUUAAAACAAUCAGACUGAUGAACACAGUCAAGGAUAAUAUAAACAGCAAUACCGAUUUUACCUUUGAAGUUUUGAAGAAGGCCUUGAGUUUAGAUGUAGUGAUUUAGAUAUAUUAUAUAUGUAACUAGACUCUUGGAGGUUAAUAAAGACAUUAACACGGCUCAAAACAAUUCAAAUGUUAUGUAUUUGUCAAUGGAAACUAUAGUAUCCGCGAAAAAAGGUUGGUUUACAGUAAUUCCAUAACGAUUAUCGUUAGUGGAGGAGGAACUGUCAACCAUAUUCUUUUCUGAAUGUCUCUCUGUCUAUCCUCCAGCUUAAAAAAAAUAUAAGAAAAUGUGGUAUGAGUGCCAGUUAGACAACUCUCUAUCCAAGUCACAAAAAAUAGUGCAAACCAUUCAAAAGCAAGUUUUGCUACAUGUAUCUUAUGCUGAUGUUAAAUAGUAUCGUAUUAGAUUUGCGUCAGCUUUCAUUUCAAAUUUGAAGAAUAAUGGAUAGUCUUUAAAGAAGAUAAUUCAAUGACAUUUAUUUCAGAGUUGACAUUAAAACAUACCGUAGAGGAAUACAACAGAUAGUUUCUUGUAACGAGUCUUCAAUACAAUCCACAUUUGCAUACUCCAUGUCUAUGAAGUGUACAUCAUGUACCCAGUGUAUACCAUUGAACAAUAUAAAAAUAAAUAAUAAAACCCAAUACAAAAAGUAAAAACUCUGUUUAUUAUUUUUUUUUUUGCUAAUGUGCUGUGUCUAUAUACCUUGUCGUG
This 6394-nucleotide long non-coding RNA is filed under the name Mytilus galloprovincialis (Mediterranean mussel). Lineage: Eukaryota; Metazoa; Mollusca; Bivalvia; Mytilida; Mytilidae. The record is from RNAcentral.